GACGAACGCUGGCGGCGUGCCUAAUACAUGCAAGUAGAACGCUGAAGGAGGAGCUUGCUUCUCUGGAUGAGUUGCGAACGGGUGAGUAACGCGUAGGUAACCUGCCUGGUAGCGGGGGAUAACUAUUGGAAACGAUAGCUAAUACCGCAUAAUAGCAGUUGUUGCAUGACAACUGUUUGAAAGGUGCAAUUGCACCACUACCAGAUGGACCUGCGUUGUAUUAGCUAGUUGGUGGGGUAACGGCUCACCAAGGCGACGAUACAUAGCCGACCUGAGGAGGUGAUCGGCCACACUGGGACUGAGACACGGCCCAGACUCCUACGGGAGGCAGCAGUAGGGAAUCGUCGGCAAUGGACGGAAGUCUGACCGAGCAACGCCGCGUGAGUGAAGAAGGUUGUCGGAUCGUAAAGCUCGGUUGUAAGAGAAGAACGAGUGUGAGAGUGGAAAGUUCACACUGUGACGGUAUCUUACCAGAAAGAGACGGCUAACUACGUG
Molecule: ribosomal RNA, 495 nt
Filed under: uncultured bacterium
Lineage: Bacteria
Description: partial 16S ribosomal RNA
Rfam family: Bacterial small subunit ribosomal RNA
Source: RNAcentral